This 292-nucleotide ribosomal RNA is filed under the name uncultured bacterium. RNAcentral describes it as "partial 16S ribosomal RNA". It matches the Rfam family "Bacterial small subunit ribosomal RNA", at positions 505 to 796 of the family's 1533-position model. The record is from RNAcentral.
GUGCCAGCCGCCGCGGUAAUACGGAAGGGGCAAGCGUUGUUCGGAAUUAUUGGGCGUAAAGGGCGCGUAGGUGGUCUUGUAUGUCUACCGUGAAAGCACACGGCUUAACCGUGUAGAGUCGGUGGAAACUGCAGGACUUGAGGUUGGGAGGGGCUGGUGGAAUUCCCUGUGUAGCGGUGAAAUGCGUAGAGAUGGGGGAGAACACUUGUGGCGAAGGCGGCCAGCUGGACCAAUUCUGACACUGAGGCGCGACAGCGUGGGGAGCAAACAGGAUUAGAAACCCCCGUAGUCC